This 852-nucleotide long non-coding RNA is filed under the name Lathyrus oleraceus (garden pea). RNAcentral describes it as "Pisum sativum (pea) long non-coding RNA (PSAT_LNC019960)". The record is from RNAcentral. Lineage: Eukaryota; Viridiplantae; Streptophyta; Magnoliopsida; Fabales; Fabaceae.
AAAUGCUGCUUUAAUUAUAAAAAUAUUAUAUAUUAAAAAUUCUAAACAAUGCCAAGCAAAUGUCAUUGCCCAAGUAGAAGGUAAGUUGUAUUUUUGUUUGUUUUACUUUUGGUAGUUUUUGAAGAAAAAUUAAAAUAAUAUAACACAUGCUUCAUCAUUGCAAAACUGUAUCCUACUACCGCUGGGAGAUUGUUGCAAGAAUGUAUUAUUCCUCAGCAAAUAUUAUAUAAAGCCAUAACUUCUCAAUUACAAAGCCAUAACUUCUUAAUAUUAGGGUGAAAAUAAUUAUUGUGUGCCAACAAAAAUAAAAAAUAAAUUGCUCAUAGAAUAUUCUAUAAAGGUUUGUUUGUGUACUAUUGAGUAUGAUACUCAUAUGAUCUAUAACAUAAACCUUUCACAUAUACAAUAGCUUAAAAGACAACGAGGUCGGAAAGCAAACGGACAGUAACGUCUUGGACAGUCAGAAUCUUCUUCACAUCUAAACCCUGUUGUAUCACAAAAGAAAAGAAAAUAAUGUUAUAAAGUGGGGAUAAAACAAGUAAAGAAGGAAUUUGAAAAGGAUAAAAAAAUUACUUACCUUCAACAUUUGUUACAAUAAUAGUUAAGAAAGAAAAUGUGAUCAUAAUAUAAACAAACUUAACAAUUUCAGGCAUAUUAUUAUUUUAUCACUUUGUGAAAAUUUAUUUAAAAGAAUAUGAAUUAUCACCUUUGUAUUUAUAAAACUCACACUCUCCUUACAUCAUUAAAGUAGUUUUUACGUUUAUAUAAUUGUAAAAAAAAAAAGAUUGAAAAUUAAAAUAUUGUUAAAUAUUAUUUAAGUACAUCAAUGCGUUUUAUUUGUCUCUUUAGCAC